UAAACACGUAGUUCUAUUGGCCUGGAACUAGAUUCUGAUAGUGAAUCAACCCAUCUAAUAGUGCAUGGGUAACGGAGUCAUUGUGUCGCUGUGGCCACAUUGAUUCGAUCCCAUCUUGUCGCUUUGGCCUUGAUGCGGAUCACCUUGCUUGGGGGGGGGAUACUGGCGGUACACGGGUGUUCAGCCAUACUCUCUUCAGGGGGGAGUACUGGUGAGACAUGCCUGAUUACGUCAGUCACUC
This 241-nucleotide long non-coding RNA is filed under the name Zostera marina. RNAcentral's name for it is "long non-coding RNA (ZMAR_LNC003055)". The record is from RNAcentral. Lineage: Eukaryota; Viridiplantae; Streptophyta; Magnoliopsida; Alismatales; Zosteraceae.